CGGUAAUACGRGGGGUGCAAGCGUUAAUCGGAAUUACUGGGCGUAAAGCGUUCGUAGGCGGUUUGUUAAGCAAGAUGUGAAAGCCCCGGGCUCAACCUGGGAACUGCAUUUUGAACUGGCAAACUAGAGUACUGUAGAGGGUGGUGGAAUUUCCAGUGUAGCGGUGAAAUGCGUAGAGAUUGGAAGGAACAUCAGUGGCGAAGGCGGCCACCUGGACAGAUACUGACGCUGAGGAACGAAAGCGUGGGGAGCAAACAGGAUUAGAUACCCUGGUAGUCCACGCCGUAAACGAUGUCAACUAGCCGUUUGUGUCCUUGAGACGUGAGUGGCGCAGCUAACGCACUAAGUUGACCGCCUGGGGAGUACGGCCGCAAGGUUAAAACUC
Molecule: ribosomal RNA, 385 nt
Filed under: uncultured bacterium
Lineage: Bacteria
Description: bacterial SSU rRNA
Rfam family: Bacterial small subunit ribosomal RNA
Source: RNAcentral